GACGAACGCUGGCGGCGUGCUUAACACAUGCAAGUCGAACGGAAAGGCCCUGCUUUUGUGGGGUGCUCGAGUGGCGAACGGGUGAGUAACACGUGAGUAACCUGCCCUUGACUUUGGGAUAACUUCAGGAAACUGGGGCUAAUACCGGAUAGGAGCUCCUGCUGCAUGGUGGGGGUUGGAAAGUUUCGGCGGUUGGGGAUGGACUCGCGGCUUAUCAGCUUGUUGGUGGGGUAGUUGCUUACCAAGGCUUUGACGGGUAGCCGGCCUGAGAGGGUGACCGGCGAAAUUGGGAAUGAGAUACGGCCCAGACUACUACGGGAGGCAGGAGUGGGGAAUAUUGCACAAUGGGCGGAAGCAUGAUGCAGCAACGCCGCGUGCGGGAUGACGGCCUUCGGGUUGUAAACCGCUUUCGCAUGUGACGAAGCGUGAGUGACGGUAAUGGGUAAAGAAGCACCGGCUAACUACGUG
This 468-nucleotide ribosomal RNA is filed under the name uncultured bacterium. RNAcentral's name for it is "partial 16S ribosomal RNA". It matches the Rfam family "Bacterial small subunit ribosomal RNA", at positions 28 to 507 of the family's 1533-position model. The record is from RNAcentral.